RNAcentral lists this transfer RNA (75 nucleotides) under Nocardiopsis ansamitocini. RNAcentral describes it as "tRNA-Val". It matches the Rfam family "tRNA". Rfam says of the family: Transfer RNA (tRNA) molecules are approximately 80 nucleotides in length. Their secondary structure includes four short double-helical elements and three loops (D, anti-codon, and T loops). Lineage: Bacteria; Bacillati; Actinomycetota; Actinomycetes; Streptosporangiales; Nocardiopsidaceae. The record is from RNAcentral.
GGGCGCGUAGCUCAGUUGGUUAGAGCCCUCGCCUUACAAGCGAGUGGUCGGAGGUUCGAGUCCUCUCGCGCCCAC